Molecule: non-coding RNA, 594 nt
Organism: Cajanus cajan (pigeon pea)
Lineage: Eukaryota; Viridiplantae; Streptophyta; Magnoliopsida; Fabales; Fabaceae
Source: RefSeq, a predicted model, not a curated record
GUAAGAUCCUGAACUACAAAUUAUUUUCAAACAUGUAUGCAUAAAAUAUAACAUAAAUAAGGCUCUUAAAAUCACUACAAAAUUUUUGUAAACUUAGAUUGAAAAUACAUAUGAAGGUCAAUACAACUCAUAAACUUACAAGUCACUACUUAACAAUUCCAAAUAUGAAAUGCAUCCUCAUUACCCUUGGCAGCACUAUCCCGUUUGAAGACAUUUUGAACCAACACAACUCUGCAAACCAAAAUACAGGAGUUGUUUUAACAGAGUAAUUGGAACACAGCAAGCUAGAAGGCUGAAACUGAGCAGAAAAAACACCCAAAGGCAGUCAAACAUAAACAGAGAAGCUGAACAAGAAAGAAAAGUCUGAGGAAUAUUCUGUUAUAUUAGAGUUGCUACUGACUAGCACAAUUAUCCAAGUGUAAUAUCUAUCAAAGAAUUGGUACAAUGUUAUAUUGCAACAGCUUAAGAGGGGGAGACUGAUGAUGAAUCCUAUAUCUUACCUGUGCUUUUACGAUUUGAUGGUCAGCCUGAAGUUGAUGAGGAGGGAAAUAUUUUGUAUAGGUUUCCAUCUCUGCAGAGAACAGCUUCUCAAAA